CCUACGGGCGGCAGCAGUGGGGAAUAUUGGACAAUGGGCGAAAGCCUGAUCCAGCCAUGCCGCGUGUGUGAAGAAGGCCUUCGGGUUGUAAAGCACUUUCAGUGGGGAAGAAAGCCUUGGGGCUAAUACCCUCGAGGAAGGACAUCACCCACAGAAGAAGCACCGGCUAACUCCGUGCCAGCAGCCGCGGUAAUACGGAGGGUGCGAGCGUUAAUCGGAAUUACUGGGCGUAAAGCGCGCGUAGGCGGUCUGAUAAGCCGGUUGUGAAAGCCCCGGGCUCAACCUGGGAACGGCAUCCGGAACUGUCAGGCUAGAGUGCAGGAGAGGAAGGUAGAAUUCCCGGUGUAGCGGUGAAAUACGUAGAGAUCGGGAGGAAUACCAGUGGCGAAGGCGGCCUUCUGGACUGACACUGACGCUGAGGUGCGAAAGCGUGGGUAGCAAACAGGAUUAGAUACCCCAGUAGUC
This 465-nucleotide ribosomal RNA is filed under the name Vreelandella stevensii. RNAcentral's name for it is "partial 16S ribosomal RNA". It matches the Rfam family "Bacterial small subunit ribosomal RNA", at positions 338 to 795 of the family's 1533-position model. Lineage: Bacteria; Pseudomonadati; Pseudomonadota; Gammaproteobacteria; Oceanospirillales; Halomonadaceae. The record is from RNAcentral.